RNAcentral lists this ribosomal RNA (254 nucleotides) under uncultured bacterium. RNAcentral's name for it is "partial 16S ribosomal RNA". It matches the Rfam family "Bacterial small subunit ribosomal RNA", at positions 524 to 776 of the family's 1533-position model. The record is from RNAcentral.
UACGUAGGCAGCGAGCGUUGUUCGGAGUUACUGGGCGUAAAGGGUGUGUAGGCGGUUGGUUAAGUUUGGUGUGAAAUCUCCCGGCUCAACUGGGAGGGUGCGCCGAAUACUGAAUGACUUCGAGUGCGGGAGAGGUGAGUGGAAUUCCUGGUGUAGCGGUGAAAUGCGUAGAUAUCAGGAGGAACACCGGUGGUGUAGACGGCUCACUGGACCGUAACUGACGCUGAGACACGAAAGCGUGGGUAGCAAACAGG